This 448-nucleotide ribosomal RNA is filed under the name uncultured bacterium. RNAcentral describes it as "SSU rRNA". It matches the Rfam family "Bacterial small subunit ribosomal RNA", at positions 26 to 518 of the family's 1533-position model. The record is from RNAcentral.
AGGAUAAACGCUGGCGGCAUGCCUAACACAUGCAAGUCGAACGCCUGUAGCAAUACAGGAGUGGCGCACGGGUGAGUAACGCGUGGGAACCUACCCUGGAGUGGGGGAUAACCGAGAGAAAUUUCGGCUAAUACCGCAUACGACCUGAGGGUGAAAGAUUUAUCGCUCUAGGAGGGGCCCGCGUCGGAUUAGCUAGUUGGUGGGGUAACGGCCUACCAAGGCAACGAUCCGUAGCUGGUCUGAGAGGAUGAUCAGCCACACUGGGACUGAGACACGGCCCAGACUCCUACGGGAGGCAGCAGUGGGGAAUAUUGGACAAUGGGGGCAACCCUGAUCCAGCAAUGCCGCGUGAGUGAUGAAGGCCUUAGGGUUGUAAAGCUCUUUCGGCGGGGACGAUGAUGACGGUACCCGCAGAAGAAGCCCCGGCUAACUUCGUGCCAGCAGCCGC